Molecule: ribosomal RNA, 253 nt
Filed under: uncultured bacterium
Lineage: Bacteria
Description: partial 16S ribosomal RNA
Rfam family: Bacterial small subunit ribosomal RNA
Source: RNAcentral
UACGUAGGUGGCAAGCGUUGUUCGGAAUUACUGGGCGUAAAGCGCGUGUAGGCGGUCCGCCAAGUCUGAUGUGAAAGCCCUGGGCUCAACCCAGGAAGUGCGUCAGAUACUGGUAGACUGGAGUGGCGGAGAGGAUGGCGGAAUUCCCGGUGUAGAGGUGAAAUUCGUAGAUAUCGGGAGGAACACCUGUGGCGAAGGCGGCCAUCUGGACGUCAACUGACGCUGAGACGCGAAAGCAUGGGGAGCAAACAGG